CACUUGAGGUCCUGGGUGAUGAUGGAGCCCAGAAAACGGAAGGAAUCCACAAUAGUGACGAGGGAGUUGCACAGGGUAAUGGGGGAAGGUGGGGCUCUGUUCCUCCGGAAAUCCACAACCAUCUCCACUGUCUUUAGAGCAUUGAGCUCCAGGUUGUUCGGGCUGCACCACGACAUCAGAUGGUCAGACUCCCACCUGUAGGCGGACUCAUCCCCACCAGAGAUCAGUCCAAUGAGGGUGGUCAAGUCAAGUCAAGUCAUUUUAUUUUGUAUAGCCCAUAAUCGCAAAUUACAAAUUUGCCUCAGAGGGCUUUACAGUCUGUACACAUACAACAUCCUCUGCCCCGAAACCCACCAUCGGCACAGGAAAAACUCCCCAAAAAAUGAAAAAACCCUUACAAGAGGGAAAAAAGGGAAGAAACCUUAGGGAGAACGUCAGAGGAGGGAUCCCACUCCCGGGAUGGACAGACUACAAUGGAUGCCAUGUGUACAGAAUAAACAAUGUAUAAUACAUGCAAUUCCUAUGACAGAAAUGAUUCAAGUAAUUGUGAGUAGUAAGCCAGGCGCACAGCAGGACCACUGCAGGGGCAACCACCAUCAGAUAGAACCACCAUCCACAGAAGCCUGUGGGGAGGGAGAGCACAGAGAUUUUAGGAGAGGGUAAUGUCGGUUUAUGAGUACAGUAAUAUGAUUAAUAUCUAAAAUAAAAUAGAUGGUUUUUACACUAUGUUACCAUAAAAUGGAUUACUGUAUGUUACCAUAAACUUGAGCGAAUUCUACUGUGAAUUAACAGCAAUUUACUGGCAGUCGACACUAGUAACUUACUGUUUUAUUUACAGUGCACUACCGUAAUUUACGACAUGUUGGAUUACAAAUUGUUACCACACGAUUACAUACAAACGUUACAGUUUACUUAUAACCGUAUACUUUUGCAUUUAAUUCCCCACAAAUUAAAGAAAGACAACCAAACUCAUUUCGGUCAUCGUGGUAGGAGUUUAUUAGAUGCCUUCAAGACAAAAAUGUUAGGCAUUUGUAACCAAGAACAAAACAUAAAUUAUGCCGCAUGUAUACAAUAAUAAAAAAAUUAAUCAUAAAAUUAUUAGGAACAAGGUAAACUAACUGCCACAAUACGCUAUGAAACAUUUUCAAUUGACCGCAGCAAACGGCUGGUGUCCUUAAUCCAGUGCCUCUGUAAAACAAACCCAAAUUAAAUAUUUAGAAACACUGUCAUUGGUAAAAUAUAAAAAUGACAAAGUUGAGGAAGACAACAAGAUGUAGGAAAGGAGAAUGUUAAUCAUGCUAGGCAAAUAACACUUACCAACGUUACUUGGAGCGACGAGGCAAUGAGAAACUCCUCCCAUGUUGAACUGCACUGACAGGUGUUCUGGAUGAACUGAGAUUACGCGUUUCAC
Molecule: long non-coding RNA, 1411 nt
Organism: Gasterosteus aculeatus aculeatus (three-spined stickleback)
Lineage: Eukaryota; Metazoa; Chordata; Actinopteri; Perciformes; Gasterosteidae
Source: Ensembl